Molecule: unclassified non-coding RNA, 23 nt
Filed under: Mus musculus (house mouse)
Lineage: Eukaryota; Metazoa; Chordata; Mammalia; Rodentia; Muridae
Description: oocyte_clustered_small_RNA4177
Source: RNAcentral
UGGGGCAAAGCAGACAACAAUGG